Molecule: ribosomal RNA, 404 nt
Filed under: uncultured bacterium
Lineage: Bacteria
Description: partial 16S ribosomal RNA
Rfam family: Bacterial small subunit ribosomal RNA
Source: RNAcentral
GACGAACGCUGGCGGCAGGCCUAACACAUGCAAGUCGAGCGAGCGGCGGACGGGAGAGUAAUGCCGGGGAAUUGCCCAGUCGAGGGGGAUAACAGUUGGAAACGACUGCUAAUACCGCAUACGAUUGGAUUGCCAAGGUGGGAGUAGCUAGUUGGUGAGGUAAUGGCUCCCCAAGGCGACGAUCCCUAGCUGGUCUGAGAGGAUGAUCAGCCACCUGGGGCCUGAGAUACGGCCCAGACGUCAACGGGAGGCAGCAGUGGGGGAUAUUGCACGAUGGGCGAAAGCCUGAUGCAGCGACGCCUCGUGGGGGAUGAAGGCUUUCGGGUUGUAAACCUCUUUCGCUAUCGAACGGGUAGGUGGAGAAGAAGCGCCGGCUAACUACGUGCCAGCCGCCGCGGUAAUAC